RNAcentral lists this ribosomal RNA (303 nucleotides) under uncultured bacterium. Its description in RNAcentral is "partial 16S ribosomal RNA". It matches the Rfam family "Bacterial small subunit ribosomal RNA", at positions 507 to 808 of the family's 1533-position model. The record is from RNAcentral.
AGCAGUCGCCACGGUAAUACGUAGGGGGCAAGCGUUGUCCGGAAUUAUUGGGCGUAAAGCGCGCGCAGGCGGUCAUGUAAGUCUGGUGUUUAAUCCCGGGGCUCAACCCCGGAUCGCACUGGAAACUGGGUGACUUGAGUGCAGAAGAGGAGAGUGGAAUUCCACGUGUAGCGGUGAAAUGCGUAGAGAUGUGGAGGAACACCAGUGGCGAAGGCGACUCUCUGGGCUGUAACUGACGCUGAGGCGCGAAAGCGUGGGGAGCAAACAGGAUUAGAUACCCCCGUAGUCCCUGUCUCUUAUACA